RNAcentral lists this ribosomal RNA (305 nucleotides) under uncultured bacterium. RNAcentral's name for it is "bacterial SSU rRNA". It matches the Rfam family "Bacterial small subunit ribosomal RNA", at positions 338 to 661 of the family's 1533-position model. The record is from RNAcentral.
CCUACGGGGGGCAGCAGUAGGGAAUCUUCCACAAUGGGGAAACCCUGAUGCAGCGACGCCGCGUGAGCGAAGAAGUAUUUCGGUAUGUAAAGCUCUAUCAGCAGGGAAGAAAAUGACGGUACCUGACUAAGAAGCCCCGGCUAAAUACGUGCCAGCAGCCGCGGUAAUACGUAGGUGGCGAGCGUUAUCCGGAAUGAUUGGGCGUAAAGGGUGCGUAGGCGGCUUGGCAAGUCUGAUGUGAAAGGCUGGGGCUCAACCCCAGGACUGCAUUGGAAACUGUUAGGCUGGAGUGUCGGAGAGGUAAG